Molecule: long non-coding RNA, 1155 nt
Filed under: Mus spicilegus (steppe mouse)
Lineage: Eukaryota; Metazoa; Chordata; Mammalia; Rodentia; Muridae
Description: lncRNA (ENSMSIG00000012226.1)
Source: RNAcentral
CUUGGUUUUUAUAAAAAUAUUAAUGAUAUCAUGGUUUUUUCAAAGGUGUGAAUGAACUUGUUUUUUAAAUUACUUUAUUUGCUUUUAUAGCAGCUACCUUUUUAGCCUUUACAUAUACUAUGAACACUCAUGAGCUUAGAGUUUAGAAAAGAAAAAAAAAAAAGCAAUGUUAGGAAAUCAAAAUGAGACUCCAGAUAAGCAAGAAAUAAUCCAUACUUAUGUGGUCUUUGACAACAGUGUUCUAGCAAUUAAUCCAAAAUGUGUGCAUCAUUGAGUUAAACAGAACCUUUGGAGUCAUUUAAGGAAAUAAUCCAGAGUCUCCUUGAGGCGAUGGGAGGAUGGAUGGUGCUGCUUUCAUGCAGAUCUGCUAGAAACAUAAAUUGAUUGAAUUUAUGUUUACUUAACUGACAACAAACUUAAAAAUAUAUAUCUUUUGAGGUAGAAAUCUUAUUGACUUAAACAGGACCAUUAGAGUCUUUUAACAAAAUAAUCUAAAUGAAGUAAUAAAACAAUUUCUUGCCACUGUGUUGACAAAGUUCACUUGGUAUGUUUUAUAUUGAAUGAUUUUUUUUUUUUACAAUUUAGUGCUGCAUCUAGAAUUUCUGUGCAGUAAUAAAGACAAUGCCCCAUUAUGUUCUUCUGUUACUAAUGAUUCUGUAAAGAUAAUUAGAAAGGGUGAAACCUAAUUCCAUUAAACAGAACUCUGCUGGGACAGAAUGAAAUUUUGCUAUGAGGCUGAAGACUUUGAAACAAAAAUGAAAAGCUUUUACACAGACAGAGCAAAUGGUUUGUGAUGGAUACAGACACGUUAUCCAUUUAAUCAAGAAAUAUUUAGUGUGGACGACGACGACGACGGUGAUGAUGAUGACAGUGAGUCAUCAUAAAUUUUUGCUCAAGGUGGUGAAAUACAAAGCCGCACCCCACUGCAGAAACCUUUGAGUCAACAGAGGAGCGCACCAAUUCUAGUUGAGAAGUAAAUUAAGGUGUGAAAAUACUGCCCGUAAAGCUGUGAAACUUGGCUUGUGGACAACCUGGAAAGCUUGCACUGAUUUAAAGACGCCAUGGGUAUUGAUUCUUUCUGUAUUUCUCCCCCAUUUGAUUGUCAGGGAGGAAGGGGGAUUAUUGCAGGAUAAAGAUUGCUUUUGGAAAAACGGG